RNAcentral lists this ribosomal RNA (395 nucleotides) under Draco beccarii. RNAcentral's name for it is "partial small subunit ribosomal RNA". It matches the Rfam family "Bacterial small subunit ribosomal RNA", at positions 769 to 1403 of the family's 1533-position model. The record is from RNAcentral. Lineage: Eukaryota; Metazoa; Chordata; Lepidosauria; Squamata; Agamidae.
AAACUGGGAUUAGAUACCCCACUAUGCCUGACUGUAAAUUAUCAGCCAAAAAAGUACGAGCCUCACUUGAAACUUAAAGGACCUGGCGGUACUCUACACCGGCCUAGAGGGGCCUGUCCUAUAACCGAUAAUCCACGAAAAACCUUACCACCCCUUGCCACCAGCCUAUAUACCGCCGUCUCCAGCACAUUUUCCAAAAAAUGAGGCUAAAUAGUCCCACACACUAACACGUCAGGUCAAGGUGUAGCUUAUGAGGUGGAAGAGACGGACCACAAUACCACAACACACGGAAACCCCGUUGAAACACGAGGAAAAAGACGAAUUUAGCAGUAAGUGGAACAGAAUGCCCCACUGAACCACCCGCCCUAGAGUACGCACACACCGCCCGUCACCCU